UGUCAUGGCAGCUGUGCGUGGGAGGCCUUUGGGCCUGCCGGGUUCCUGGAGUCCUGGUCUGCGAACCCGCGUACAGUUGCCACCCUU
Molecule: non-coding RNA, 87 nt
Organism: Pseudomonas sp. GM78
Lineage: Bacteria; Pseudomonadati; Pseudomonadota; Gammaproteobacteria; Pseudomonadales; Pseudomonadaceae
Source: Rfam